UUUCAUCAAAUGUUGCGUCUGAAGCGGGAAGAUUGCAACUCGAAAUCCACAUCUCCAUCUCCAUCGAAAUCGUCCCGUGGCUGAAACCAUUACCAUUGACCAUCUCCUCCCCCAUCUGAAACCAUUGAAAUUUCCUCCCCAUCUAAAGAUUGAAAUCACUAACCCUAACCCCUCUGCCCAUCUGGAGACUGAAAUCCCUAAACCCUUCCUAACCCAUCGCAGACCAAACCCGUUGUGUAUCUGGGAUUUUACUCUCUACAGAAUCGCUAUUGGUGAUCUAUUUAACCUGGUCUGUUCAGCUAAAUGGUUGUCGGUGGUGCUUAAAACAAUCCAUACUUGUCUGGAGCUGCAAAAAGGAAUCUUUUCUUUAAUCUUCUAUAUGCUGAAGGCAGCAGCUCAAUGUUGCAGUUAUGAUGAGGAUGCGCAGCAUAGAUCAAUGGAUGUACCAAUAAGAAGUGAUUUGAUUCAAGUUUGAAGCACUAUAUGGACAAGGGAAAGUAAAAGAGAAUUAGGAUUGGGGCCACUAAAGAUGACAUAGUGAUCUGCAAUUUUAAGGAAAAUAUGACAAUUUUUUAGGAAGCUGCCAAUAAGCUAUUGGUUUACCAGAGUUUUGGUUAUUCUUCCAUUUAGGUCCUAACUUUGUGAAAGCUGUUUGAUGUAUCAUCAUUCAAGUAGUUCUUAUAUUGUAAAUUAUUAUAUUUGUAUAGGGUUGUCACAUUUAUAAUAGUUUUGUCUUAUUUCGGAUAAAUUGUAUAUAAAUAGCAAGUUGUAUGGAGUAGAUCAUUUUUUAAUGUAUCAA
Molecule: long non-coding RNA, 799 nt
Organism: Carya illinoinensis
Lineage: Eukaryota; Viridiplantae; Streptophyta; Magnoliopsida; Fagales; Juglandaceae
Exons: 2
Source: RefSeq, a predicted model, not a curated record